RNAcentral lists this long non-coding RNA (3393 nucleotides) under Gadus morhua (Atlantic cod). RNAcentral describes it as "lncRNA (ENSGMOG00000024241.1)". The record is from RNAcentral. Lineage: Eukaryota; Metazoa; Chordata; Actinopteri; Gadiformes; Gadidae.
CUAUUAACUGCAUUAUGAUUAACUAUAUUGCAAUAUAUUUGUGUGAUUAAUUUCCUGCAACAAUUCCAUGGUAACGUCUCUGCCAACAGUCGGUGAGUGUAAUUUGUUGACGGUCCCUAAAACAGGUAGCAGCCAGAACGUAAAUGACGUUGUUGCACAGACAUUGAUGGCGACAACAUGUGUUUGUGAUUUUUUGCGAUACGGUGUCCUAAACCGUCCUCAGCAUACUAAGCCCGGGAGAUUUGGAGGUACCUGGUCAGGUCUUGGUCAGCCUUCAAAUCCAAGAUGUGGAGACUGCAGGGAUGCCUCACAGAGAAGACACUAAAGAGUCAUCUCUCAUUCAUCGAGUGGACUCAUUGGUUUGCGAAUGACCACAAAGAUGCUCCCAUAGGCAGAUUGCUGCAUGGCAUUCACCACUUAUUCAAAUUGUAGAGGUUGAAGUCACCUUUCGGCGAAAUUCGCCGUUUUGAAGACAAAAUUGACCACUUGUGUGAUUCGUGGAGAUCCGUUGAGAAAACAUUUUUGGGGGGGGGGGGUCUGAUGGCCAGCCAUGGAGUCCUUGUAGCGCCUGCUAAUACAUACAUUCUCAAUGGAGAGGCGAGCGGACAUAGAGAAGGCGCAGCAUUCUGUCAGGCGGCACGACAAGUGGGCGCACUCCCGUGGAACUGUCGCUUCGGUGCUCGUCGGAGGCAUGCGCUCGCUCGUGAAGCCGCGUGGCCAACCGACAGCGCGAGCGGAAAGUCGCCUACCAUCUGAAACGGCCAAGCGUGAGCCCACCGGAGCCUUUAAAUGAUUCGUUUCCACCGAGCCUUUCCACCGCCGACAGUACCCUCAUGGUAGGCCGGAUGUCGAUCGCCGCGGCAGCUACGUAAACAUCCUGAAGGUGAACGACGAGAACUGAUUCCCAAAACAAACAUGACAAAAAUAUGGUCACGUAAAUAAAAUAUAGAAACGAACAGAGCUUCGUCUCCCCGCGACCUUAUAUUAUCUAAAACGUUCUCAUCGAUUCAGCCAAUGAGAGUGCAAUCGCGUUGCCAUGGCAACGCGAGGGGUAAACAAAUGAUAAGGCACCACCACACAAGUUAAGUAACGAUCGCUGUAGGCUUCAAUAUCAUGCAAGCACUUUGUUUUCUUUUUAUUUUGUUCUACAUCACAAUUGCAUGCUUUAAUAAAGUAUUGUCUUCUUCAAUAGGUCCAUGCUCGAACCUCCUUGUUCGCCCAAGCUAACGUUUUACGCGACACGUCCAUUGUCCAGAAUAAUACCUUGCAGUUUAUUUUUAUCCCCAUGUCACGCCCACUUUUGGCGGUGGAAACGCGCACCGUGCCGCAACUUUGCGAACCGAACCGAACGCACCCUCCGGUGGAAAACGCGCCAAAAGAGAAUUUUUCAGCGGGUCACCAGUUGUGUUGAUACAUACUAGAUAUAGCCGAGAGAAGUCGCUGCUUUGCAGCAUGCAAAACAGCGAGUUCCGCGCCCUUGAGACACCGCGCCCUUGAGACACCUGGUCCAGGCCAAGAAGAAAAAUAAAUAAUGGCAUACUCCUAUUGCCCUGUCCUCCCACCUCUUUUAUUCUUCUCAAUAUUCUUUCUUAAUUUUGUAAUAAGUUACGUACCUAUUGGGGCUGCCCUUGCACAUGAUAAAUUAAUGCUUUGUUCGUAAUUGUGCGCAGUCCUGUAAUUUUUUUUUAGCUUGUGAAUAACCCUAAUACAUAAAAAAAUGUAAAAGAAAACUCCCCGGAGUAUAAACCUGGAACCCUAUAGUGGGUCUGUGUUUUUCUCAGCUCACGCAUCAUUCUCACCUUUUUCACCCCGAGCCAGUUUGCAUGCCUGAGUCUUCCUUGUGGUCACUUGCCAUAACACUGUCAUGUGUUUUAUGAAAACACCAUCAGUACAUUUAAAUUGAGUUGAUGUGGACGGCCCUUUUUUUUGUCCGAUUUCUUCAGUGUUCAGUGCCUGUUUGUGAGAUAUGCAUUGUUUGAAAGAUAAGCCUUUGAUUUUGUUUAAUUUUAAUAUGUCUUUCAUCAACAGUGGUUUGGGGUUUUAUAACAACAAUUAAACUGCUUAACUACUGGUGAACGAUGUUGCAGAACAUAUAUGGUUUGUGUUGAUUGCAUGGAAAAGGGAAUAACCAGUUACAACUUAUAUGGUAAGAGCCUGCACAGUAAAAAAACAUAGUGUCAAUUUUACUCUUUAAAGGUGCGGCCACACCAGACGCGUAUCUCGCGUACUUCGCGUAUGAAAUCGCCAUUUUCUCCAUAGGGAACCAUUGGUUUACGCGCGUAUUACGCGUAUUACGCGUAUUUUCGCGUAUUAAGCAACAUUUUACGCGCGUAUAGCGCGUAUGUGGCGCGUAUAUUUACGCGCAAUACGCGCUAUACGCGCGUAUAUCGCGUACAUUUCAAAAGAGUUCAAAAAAUUGAACUUUUUACGCGAAGUACGCGAGAUACGCGUCUGACGAGACACGCAUUGCCCAAUCAGCGUUGAGCUUGACCCGACGUCACUGGCAGAGAGUAGUGAGCUUGGACAGAGCAUACGGCCGACAUCUUCCUUUUUUCUGUGUGGAAAUAGUAACAUAGUUACGCCAUUAAAUGCUUUUAUGGAAACAUUUCUAGCGAGAAAUGUGCAUUUUACUUUCAUAAUGUUCACUCGGUGAAUGUGAAGGAUGUUUGGUUUGAUAGUUAUGACGAAGAAGGGAACGCUCCGUUCACUUGCAUGGACAGAGUCUCUGGUUACUAAGCAACCUCAACGUCUUGGCGGACUAUUUCUCUGCUGGGAAACACACCAGGACACACCAUGUGAAGUUAUUUUAACCCGAUUAUUGUUAUUUAUAUCCGAGAUUAUUUAAUCUAACCCGAUCUAAACUCUAUCACCCAAACACGGCGGCGUUGGGGUUUCCUACCUCGGACUCCAGCGCAGCCACGGCCGACAACUUUCUUUAUUCUGGGUGGAAAUAGUAACAUAGUUACGCCAUUAAAUGCGUUUAUGGAAACAUUUUUAGCGAGAAAUGUGCAUUUUACUUUCGUAAUGUUCGCUCGGUGAAUGUGAAGGAUGUUUGGUUUGAUAGUUAUGACGAAUAGGGAACGCUCCGUUCACUUGCAUGGACAUGGACUCAUCUAGGCGAGUGACGUAGGCGCGUAUAGCGCGUAUUGCGCGUAUGCGACCAUUUUUGACACAAAAUGGUCAAGCAACAUUUUACUCGCGUAUCUCGCGUAAAAAGUACGCGAGAUACGCGUCUGGUGUGGCCGCACCAUAAGAGUUGAAUUUAACUCUGUGUCAGAUAACAUUUGGUCCCACCCUAAAUUAGUGUAAAAUUUACUCUGUAGCCAGUGUAAGAUUUUCAGAGUUAAUAUUACUCUAUUUUGUGUCACAAUUUACAAUGAAAUGUGUAAAAAC